GAUGAACGCUGGCGGCGUGCCUAAUACAUGCAAGUCGAGCGAACAGACGAGGAGCUUGCUCCUCUGACGUUAGCGGCGGACGGGUGAGUAACACGUGGAUAACCUACCUAUAAGACUGGGAUAACUUCGGGAAACCGGAGCUAAUACCGGAUAAUAUAUUGAACCGCAUGGUUCAAUAGUGAAAGACGGUUUUGCUGUCACUUAUAGAUGGAUCCGCGCCGCAUUAGCUAGUUGGUAAGGUAACGGCUUACCAAGGCAACGAUGCGUAGCCGACCUGAGAGGGGGAUCGCCCACUAGGGAACGGAGCCGCGGGCAGGACUCCUACGGGAGGAAGGAGAGGGGAAUCCUCCGCAAGGGGAGAAGGCCUGACGGGGCAACGCCGCGUGAGGGAGGAAGGUCGCCGGAUCGUAAAACUCUGUUAGUGGGGAAGAAGAAAUGUGUAAGAAACGAGGCACGUCUAGACGGUACCUAAGCAGAAAGCCACGGAGACAUACG
Molecule: ribosomal RNA, 495 nt
Filed under: uncultured bacterium
Lineage: Bacteria
Description: partial 16S ribosomal RNA
Rfam family: Bacterial small subunit ribosomal RNA
Source: RNAcentral